CGUGCAAGUGAUGACAAAAUAGACAGGGACAUCAGAACUCCUUGGAGAAUGAUGACUUCGUCUUUGGGAAUCUCUCUGAUGCACU
This 85-nucleotide small nucleolar RNA is filed under the name Macleaya cordata. RNAcentral describes it as "Small nucleolar RNA R44/J54/Z268 family". It matches the Rfam family "Small nucleolar RNA R44/J54/Z268 family". From Rfam's summary of the family: R44, J54 and Z268 are members of the C/D class of snoRNA which contain the C (UGAUGA) and D (CUGA) box motifs. Most of the members of the box C/D family function in directing site-specific 2'-O-methylation of substrate RNAs. The record is from Rfam by way of RNAcentral. Lineage: Eukaryota; Viridiplantae; Streptophyta; Magnoliopsida; Ranunculales; Papaveraceae.